This 728-nucleotide ribosomal RNA is filed under the name Escherichia sp. Its description in RNAcentral is "bacterial SSU rRNA". It matches the Rfam family "Bacterial small subunit ribosomal RNA", at positions 28 to 745 of the family's 1533-position model. RNAcentral also lists the same sequence under 1 other name. Lineage: Bacteria; Pseudomonadati; Pseudomonadota; Gammaproteobacteria; Enterobacterales; Enterobacteriaceae. The record is from RNAcentral.
AUUGAACGCUGGCGGCAGGCCUAACACAUGCAAGUCGAACGGUAACAGGAAGAAGCUUGCUUCUUUGCUGACGAGUGGCGGACGGGUGAGUAAUGUCUGGGAAACUGCCUGAUGGAGGGGGAUAACUACUGGAAACGGUAGCUAAUACCGCAUAACGUCGCAAGACCAAAGAGGGGGACCUUCGGGCCUCUUGCCAUCGGAUGUGCCCAGAUGGGAUUAGCUAGUAGGUGGGGUAACGGCUCACCUAGGCGACGAUCCCUAGCUGGUCUGAGAGGAUGACCAGCCACACUGGAACUGAGACACGGUCCAGACUCCUACGGGAGGCAGCAGUGGGGAAUAUUGCACAAUGGGCGCAAGCCUGAUGCAGCCAUGCCGCGUGUAUGAAGAAGGCCUUCGGGUUGUAAAGUACUUUCAGCGGGGAGGAAGGGAGUAAAGUUAAUACCUUUGCUCAUUGACGUUACCCGCAGAAGAAGCACCGGCUAACUCCGUGCCAGCAGCCGCGGUAAUACGGAGGGUGCAAGCGUUAAUCGGAAUUACUGGGCGUAAAGCGCACGCAGGCGGUUUGUUAAGUCAGAUGUGAAAUCCCCGGGCUCAACCUGGGAACUGCAUCUGAUACUGGCAAGCUUGAGUCUCGUAGAGGGGGGUAGAAUUCCAGGUGUAGCGGUGAAAUGCGUAGAGAUCUGGAGGAAUACCGGUGGCGAAGGCGGCCCCCUGGACGAAGACUGACG